AGAUGCUGACAUUUCCCAUCACUGGUUACUGUACAAACUAGCCUCCUGGUACAUGCAGGCAUUAACAGGUGGCACUGGACAGGCGGCCUGGGGCUAUUCAUACUGACACAAUCUAGUUUCUGGGCCCUCAAGGUCAAGCCAUCCCCGGGGACCUGAGAGCCCACCUUCCAUCCCCAUCAGCUUCCUGUUCCAGAGUUGCACUGCUGCCCUUUACCUGUGCCACACUCAUCCCCAAAGAGAGAACAUGUCUAGCUCCAGCACUCCAACAACAUCCUGGGGCAAUGGAAACAAGCCUGGAAGGCAGGGGGGUGUUCUGGAGCAAGCGGGGGAUGAACCAAGUUCCUACCGAAGGGAGAGGGGGAUCUGGCACCAGAGAAGCAAAGCUGACAGGAGAUGGGGACAUGCCCACCAGGGUGCCCUCUGACCUGCUGCCUCCACUCUGUGUGUGUGCAGAAAAUGACCAAACACUGCUGAAAAAACAACACUGGUUUUACUGUUUCUUCUGGUCUAUUAAAUUAGCUAUUCUGA
Canis lupus familiaris (dog) is the source of this 528-nucleotide long non-coding RNA. RefSeq lists it as uncharacterized. Lineage: Eukaryota; Metazoa; Chordata; Mammalia; Carnivora; Canidae. The transcript has 2 exons. The record is from RefSeq and is a predicted model, not a curated record.